AAUUACCAAAUGGUUUUCCAAGCAGGAUAACGUGAUCCCUUCACUUGGGAUGUUGCUCUACUUACGGAAGGCGUAAUACACUCGCCUUCGGCUCGAGUAUUUUUACGCUUUUCGAAAGUCUCGCGACAUCCCUCGUGCAUGGAUCACGUAAUCCUGCACGGAAAACCAUUCGGUAUUC
RNAcentral lists this microRNA precursor (178 nucleotides) under Paramuricea clavata. Lineage: Eukaryota; Metazoa; Cnidaria; Anthozoa; Malacalcyonacea; Plexauridae. The record is from RNAcentral.